This 72-nucleotide transfer RNA is filed under the name Stegodyphus mimosarum. It matches the Rfam family "tRNA". Rfam says of the family: Transfer RNA (tRNA) molecules are approximately 80 nucleotides in length. Their secondary structure includes four short double-helical elements and three loops (D, anti-codon, and T loops). Further hydrogen bonds mediate the characteristic L-shaped molecular structure. tRNAs have two regions of fundamental functional importance: the anti-codon, which is responsible for specific mRNA codon recognition, and the 3' end, to which the tRNAs corresponding amino acid is attached (by aminoacyl-tRNA synthetases). tRNAs cope with the degeneracy of the genetic code in two manners: having more than one tRNA (with a specific anti-codon) for a particular amino acid; and 'wobble' base-pairing, i.e. permitting non-standard base-pairing at the 3rd anti-codon position. The record is from Rfam by way of RNAcentral. Lineage: Eukaryota; Metazoa; Arthropoda; Arachnida; Araneae; Eresidae.
GCCUUCGUGGUGUAUGGUCAGCAUGCUCAGCGCGUAACCUAGAGGUUCGUGGUUCGAUUCCUGGCGAAGGCG